UACGGGGGGAGCAAGCGUUGUUCGGAUUUACUGGGCGUAAAGGGCGCGUAGGCGGUCGUGACAAGUCACUUGUGAAAUCUCCGGGCUUAACUCGGAACGGUCAAGUGAUACUGUCGGACUAGAGUACAGAAGGGGCAACUGGAAUUCCUGGUGUAGCGGUGAAAUGCGUAGAUAUCAAGAGGAACACCUGAGGUGAAGACGGGUUGCUGGGCUGACACUGACGCUGAGGCGCGAAAGCCAGGGGAGCAAACGGG
Molecule: ribosomal RNA, 254 nt
Filed under: uncultured bacterium
Lineage: Bacteria
Description: partial 16S ribosomal RNA
Rfam family: Bacterial small subunit ribosomal RNA
Source: RNAcentral